UACAGAGGUCUCAAGCGUUGUUCGGAUUCAUUGGGCGUAAAGGGUGCGUAGGCGGCGCGGUAAGUCGGAUGUGAAAUCUCGGGGCUUAACUCCGAAACUGCAUUCGAUACUGCCGUGCUUGAGGACUGGAGAGGAGACUGGAAUUUACGGUGUAGCGGUGAAAUGCGUAGAUAUCGGGAGGAACACCUGUGGCGAAAGCGGCUCACUGGACCACAACUGACGCUGAGGCGCGAAAGCUAGGGGAGCAAACAGG
Molecule: ribosomal RNA, 253 nt
Filed under: uncultured bacterium
Lineage: Bacteria
Description: partial 16S ribosomal RNA
Rfam family: Bacterial small subunit ribosomal RNA
Source: RNAcentral